RNAcentral lists this transfer RNA (61 nucleotides) under Hyalella sp. 2015-x. RNAcentral describes it as "tRNA-Ile". Lineage: Eukaryota; Metazoa; Arthropoda; Malacostraca; Amphipoda; Hyalellidae. The record is from RNAcentral.
AAUAAAGUGCCUGAAAAAAAGGAACACUCUGAUACUGUGCUUAUGCUAAUAGCCUUUAUUU